Molecule: long non-coding RNA, 1621 nt
Filed under: Mytilus galloprovincialis (Mediterranean mussel)
Lineage: Eukaryota; Metazoa; Mollusca; Bivalvia; Mytilida; Mytilidae
Source: RNAcentral
GUUUACACAAUUGCUAAGGGAAACGUCACUUCCUGUGAAACAAUUAGAAUAUGGUCAAUGUUUCCAUAAUAUUUACAUUUCGAAAUUAACCUCUUUAUUUCAUAACUUGAUAUCUAUUCGGUAAGUGUGAUGAAGAAGAUUACGUCUUUUCAUACGAUAUUACUUGUAUUUUUAUUUUUUGCAACCUUAACCUAAGCUUAAUAAAAAUGAAAGUGUCGUGAUUCCUUGCUCUUCAAGUUAAAUUUUUUAUCGAUCUGUCAAUUUCUUUGGGACAUUAAUAUUGGGAUUCCGGUUAUGACCAUCUAAAUUAAAAUUUGUUAAGAUAUUGCAAAACUUAUGGUAGCAAGUUUUUGAAGUAAACAAGUCACAUGGGGGAGGGGGCGAUUUUGCCACCUAUUUACGCAAACUCCCUGGUAUACACCUUAUCGCUAUUUGUCCGCCAUUACUAGUUAUCACACAGGUUCCAAAACAAAAUAUCUGACGCCAAAAUGGAAAAGUGAUUGUUGUAUGCGUCAAAAGUUCAAGCGGCCGGGUCAGCCGGGAUUAGCGAUAAGGUGUAUUGAAUCAGAAUAUAGGUAUCAGGUCCAUUCGCACCCAAUAUUCUUUCGCACCCCACACAUUCGCACCUCAGAUGUUCGCCCCCCAAAGUUUGUUCGCCCCCCAAAGUUUAUUCGCACCCUACACGUAUUAGAAUUUCAGUUGAAUAAUUAGAUAUUUUAUCAUAUGUAUGUUAUAUAUACCAUAUUGAGAAAAAUGCAGUAGGAUAGCUUUUGCAAACGUACAAAACUUACAAUUUAAAUUUUGUAAACUUUUGUUAUUUAUCAAGUUUAUAAUUAUAUACAUGUAUGAGCACCAAUACCGGAAAUAGCAACAUUUAUGAAAAUCCCAGAUCUCUGUCUGACAAUGUCUGACAAAUGAAUUCUGUAAUGCACACACAAAUUUCUGAAUUAAUAAUCCAAUUCAUAAUAAUUAUUUUCAAAAUUUGCAGUGAGUGCAACAUUGUUUUGAUAAAUUGGAGUUUUGAUAAAUUUAUCAUUCUAUAAUGUUUUUAUUUGAUAAUAUAUAUAUAUAUUUUUAGGGUAAAAUAAUACUGUGUUCCGGUGAAGAAAAUAUAACUAACUGAAAAUGGGAGACGUGAGUGAAAUGUUUACAGUCUUAAGAUAUAUAUAUAUCCAUCAUUGUCCAUGUAAUGAAAGAAAAGAGUUUUUUAUUUUAAGCAUUUACAAUAAUACUACAUUUUCUUAUUUUUAUAUUGUUUGUUUGAAGCAUGUAAGAAAUAUCCAAGCAUAGAUGACCUGCACUAGAUAUGGUACAAUUUUUUUCUUUCUAUUUUUGGUUUCAACUAUUUUUAUAUAUAUAUUAACCAAACAUGUGUAAUGCAUACUUUAUUGUGAGCCUGGUAGCUUGGAUUAAUUUUAUGCGAGAGAUACUUUUUAUUUACAGAAGAAGAUUACCAUGGAGACAAUCCAGACUUAUGUGAGGCUUGACAAUGAGAUACAUAUGAUGGAAAUAAAAAACAUAAGGAAGAGCCUGAAGAUGAAAGAGGACCAGCUAAAAGAUGUACAGCAAACUGAAUCCCAGCUUAAAACACACUACAAAGAAUGUCAGGAUAAAACGUAAG